GUCUGGUCCUGCUGCAGUGGUGUUCACAAAUAAUUGAUCACAACCAGUUACAGAUUUCUUUGUUCCUUUUCCACUCCUACUGCUUCACUUGACUAGCCCUAA
This 102-nucleotide Y RNA is filed under the name Prolemur simus (greater bamboo lemur). Its description in RNAcentral is "Y RNA (ENSPSMG00000019590.1)". It matches the Rfam family "Y RNA". Rfam says of the family: Y RNAs are components of the Ro ribonucleoprotein particle (Ro RNP), in association with Ro60 and La proteins. The Y RNAs and Ro60 and La proteins are well conserved, but the function of the Ro RNP is not known. Lineage: Eukaryota; Metazoa; Chordata; Mammalia; Primates; Lemuridae. The record is from Rfam by way of RNAcentral.